UGGCUCAAUUGGUAGAAUAUGGCGCUUGCAACGCCAGGGUUGUGGGUUCAAUUCCCAU
Molecule: transfer RNA, 58 nt
Filed under: Salmo salar (Atlantic salmon)
Lineage: Eukaryota; Metazoa; Chordata; Actinopteri; Salmoniformes; Salmonidae
Also listed under: 1 other name
Rfam family: tRNA
About the family: Transfer RNA (tRNA) molecules are approximately 80 nucleotides in length.
Source: Rfam by way of RNAcentral